This 1027-nucleotide long non-coding RNA is filed under the name Capra hircus (goat). RNAcentral's name for it is "lncRNA (ENSCHIG00010029982.1)". The record is from RNAcentral. Lineage: Eukaryota; Metazoa; Chordata; Mammalia; Artiodactyla; Bovidae.
UAACUCUUUCUUGACAUAAUUAANNNNNNNNNNAAAAUGGCACUAAAUAAACAUCUGUUUUAAUCUGUAUAAAAUGUAAAUCAGUUUGACACUGCAUUUUUGGUAGGUGUGCUAAUUUCUGCCCAUGGCAGUUUAAAACAUCAAAAACUGAAUUCUGGACAGAUUCAAGCCUUGAUACACUGUGGGGUUUUUUCUUAUUCUUUCUUUCAUUUUUUUUGGUCCUGAUUUUUUUCCCCAUUGUGAUGUUUAGUAACGUAGAAUUUAAAAUGUAGUUUUAAAUAAAGUUUGGACUUAUCUGUAAACUUAUCUUUUUUGAAAAUUAUGUUGAAUUCUAUACAGCAAGUCAUUAUUCUAUAUAAUUAGGCUGUUCAGAGAAGAGCAACCGUCAAGAGUUAGAGAAAUAUACUAUUUAUUAUAAAGCCCGGCCUUCAGGCCAGGCUUCCAAAUAAUGCCAGUGUUGCUGCUAUUGAGUCUAAUAUUCUUUUAGAUACCUGCAAGUCUUAUUCCUUUGCAAGAAUAGGGCAGGUUAUAAAGGUAUCCAGGAUUUCUGAGAAGUUAUUAUAGAAUAUAAAUAUUCUAUUCAAAUUGGAUAAUAAGUUUAGAAUACUUGUCCUUAGUACCUAGAAUUUACAUAAUUAUCUAUUAGAUAAAUAUUUUCUAGGAUUUCUAUUCAUAUCUGUGUUGCCUCAGUUUAAAUGUUAAAAGAGAGAACAUUUUCUAUAACUAGAGAAUAUUUCCGCUUAAACAAGGAAAGUAAUAUUGUGAUUACUUUUAAAAGGAAAACCAAGCUCUUUAAAGUAGGGAUUAAUAGAACUAAAUUUACGAACCAGAGCACUAAGGUCCUGUUUGCUUUUGGACAACCUUGCUUUCUGAGACGAUAAUUUAGGCCAAAACGUAGCAGUUGUCUCUGUGUAGUGAGAGAGAAGCAGGUUUGCAGAUGAAGUACUGUAUGGAGUAAUGGGAAUCUACGUGACCUCUUUAUCACUAAGCAAAUCAGCUUUUCAAAGGAGGUGUACUUCUAGAUCCC